AAUAUUAAAUUCAAGAAUAAAUGCGUAUGGCGGCCAUGGCGAAUCUCACGCGCGUGUCCGGGAGUUUGCAUCGACUGACGAUGAAAGUUUGUUCAACCUCUCCGCUGCCUUUCUGCGGUUACCGCAUUUUAUAUUCACAUAGUUUCUGUAAAUCUGCAACUACUGUAAGAUAUUUUGCGAGAGACUCUCGCCACAGACACAAUAACAGAUAUCACAGCUCUUCUACACAUAAAACUGUGCGCAUUGGAUGUGCGUCGGGGUUUUGGGGUGACACUGCAACAUCAGUUCCUCAGCUCAUAUAUGGUGGGAAACUGGACUUUCUUGUGUUUGAUUAUCUGUCUGAAAUCACCAUGUCACUGCUCUCAGCAGCCAAAGCUAAAGCACCACAAAUGGGAUACGCUCCUGAUUUUGUCCUUUCUCUUUCUCCAUUUAUUAAGGAUAUCAGCAAAAGAGGUAUUCGUGUGGUCAGUAAUGCUGGAGGUGUUAAUCCUCUGGCCUGUGGAGCAGCUCUUCAAGAAGUUAUUCAAAAGGCUGGACUUGACUUAAAGGUUGCUGUGGUUACCGGCGAUGACCUGAUGCCACAGAAAGACUCUUUGACUGAACUCCAGAUGACUGACGCAGAGAGCAAGAAACCACUUCCAAAGACCGUCCACAGCAUGAAUGUGUAUUUAGGCGCUCUCUCCAUUAAACGCUGCCUGGACCUCGGGGCUGAUAUUGUAGUGACGGGACGCUGCGUGGACAGUGCUGUGGUUCUGGGACCACUGAUGCACUCGUUUGCAUGGGACCGCAGUAACCAUGACCUUUUGGCUGCUGGAAGCCUUGCUGGACAUCUGAUUGAGUGUGGUGCUCAGGCCACAGGGGGAAUCUUCACUGACUGGCACACUGUUCCUGACUGGGAUAACAUGGGCUUCCCGGUGGUGGAGUGUUCUGCUGAUGGUUCAUUUACACUCUCCAAACCUCCAAAAACCGGUGGGCUGGUUUCAUUUGGUACAGUGGCAGAGCAGCUGGUGUAUGAGAUUGGAGACCCACGGCAUUACCUCCUUCCUGAUGUAACCUGUGACUUCUCCAAUGUCACCAUUACUGAAAUACCAGAUGUGGAUGGUGGAGCAGUGAAAGUCGGUGGUGCCAAGGGGUCGCCUCCAUCAGGUGACUACAAGGUUUGUGCCACAUAUAUGGAUGGGUUCAGGGCGACAGCAGUUUGUCCUGUUGGUGGCCCGAGAGCAGUGGAAAAAGCUAGAAGAACAGCGGAGAGCAUUAUCAAAAGGACCCAGCGAAUUUUCAAACAGCUGGGUUUGGAGGACUAUACUGAAGUCAAUAUUCAAGUUCUGGGUGCUGAGGACACAUAUGGACCACAUGCAGUCAAUACAGGAGUUCGUGAGGCUGUGGUUUGGAUGGCCGUCCAUCACAAGCAGAAGAAAGCACUGGAGUUUUUCUCUAGAGAGGUCGCACCAGCGGGAACUGGCAUGGCUCCAGGACUCACAGCUAUUGUAGGAGGACGACCAAGAAUAUCUCCCGUGCUGAAGCCUUUCUUUUUCCUGUAUCCCAAAUCAGACCUUGAGGUGCACAUUCAUGUCAAUGGGGAGCAUGUGGAGACACACAGAGAGGCAGUGUCAGAGCCUUCAUUAGGAGAAACACACAACUCCUCCCUUCGGUCAGAGGAGAGCAGCCUAACAUCCACAGAUCUGCCCUCUGGGCCGCAUACCUUCAGACUGGAGGAGUUAGCAUACACGCGCAGCGGAGACAAAGGGGACUCCGCAAACAUUGGUGUUAUUGCACGACACCCACAGUACUUCCCAUAUCUGAAGAAGUUUAUAACUGCUGAAGUCGUGGAGCAGUAUUUCCAACAUUUAAUCAGAAAGGAUCAGACUGGCCAACCCUCCGUCAUACGGUACGAGCUGCCUGGUAUUCACGGCCUGAACUUCAUUCUGCGCAACUCACUUGGAGGGGGAGGGGUGGCGUCACUCCGCAGCGACCCUCAGGGAAAAGCCUACGGGCAAAUGCUGCUGGACUAUAAACUGCAAGGCCUACCUGAUUUAAAAUCACUAAUCAAUUAAAAAAAGGAUGAGGACUGAAGGAUAUCAGGGGCAAGUUGAUGUGCUGGAAAAUGUCAAAAGAAAAGGGUCACCACAGCCGAAAGAACCACCAACUUAUCCAGCAUAUGUUUUACACAGCGGAUGCCCUUCCAGCUGCAACCCACGACUGGGAAACAUCCAUACACACUCAUUCACAAACAUGCACUACGGACAGUUAAACUUAACUAAUUCACCUAUACCACGUCUUUGGACUUGUGGGGUAAACCGGAGCACUCUGAGAAAACUCACGCAAACACGGGGAGAACAUGCAAUCUCCACACAGAAAUGCCAACUGACCCAGCCGAAGCUUGAACCAGCGACCUUCUUGCUGUGAGGCGAUCGUGCUACUCACUGUGCCACCGUGACGCCUUAUAUGUACAAAAUAUUUAAUAAAAUUGUACACAUAUGAGUUAAUUUAUAAA
RNA transcript from Danio aesculapii, 2494 nucleotides. RefSeq lists it as uncharacterized. The transcript is spliced from 21 exons. The record is from RefSeq and is a predicted model, not a curated record. Lineage: Eukaryota; Metazoa; Chordata; Actinopteri; Cypriniformes; Danionidae.